RNAcentral lists this unclassified non-coding RNA (215 nucleotides) under soil metagenome. RNAcentral's name for it is "partial contains 5.8S ribosomal RNA, internal transcribed spacer 2, and large subunit ribosomal RNA". The record is from RNAcentral.
AACGCACGAGACCUGCGGACCUGCGGAGGGAUCAUUACUGAGUUUCACAACUCUCUAACCCUGUGUGAACUGAAGUCUGGUUGCUCAGGCAGGCGGCCCCCGGGGGGAGCCGCAGCUUCUCUGAAGCGCCUGCCGGAGGAUACCUAAACUCGUUUUAACAUAUAAUCUUCUGAGUAAUAAAAAAAAUGAAUCAAAACUUUUAGCAACGGAUCUCU